RNAcentral lists this long non-coding RNA (1683 nucleotides) under Ornithorhynchus anatinus (platypus). Its description in RNAcentral is "lncRNA (ENSOANG00000035994.1)". The record is from RNAcentral. Lineage: Eukaryota; Metazoa; Chordata; Mammalia; Monotremata; Ornithorhynchidae.
CCCAAAGUCACACAGCUGACGGAGCCAGGAUUAGAACCUGUGACCUCUGACUCCUAAGCUCGUGCUCUUUCUACUGACACACUGCUUCUCUAGACACAAGCUAGUAAGGUUGGACAAAGUCCAUGUCUCAUGUGGGGCUCACAGUCUCAAUCCCCACUUUACAGAUGGGGUAACUGAGGCACAAACAAAUUGACUUAAUCAAGGUCACACAGCAGAUAUGGGGCAGAGCUGGGAUCAGAACCAGGUCUUAUGAGUCCUCAGCCUCUUUUAUUUCCCCUAGGCCAUGCUUGCCACGUUACUUAUUUGUCUACAUUUGGAAGCACCCUUUUGUUAACUAUUUUACAUGCUUGAAGCUUAUAUUUGCUUUGGGACAAGAAACUAUACAAGAGAAAGACAGCUCAGAGCACUGGCUAAAGACUUGUAGAUUUUCUCUGCAGUCACAACACCAGGGAAGAAUUAAAACCAUUGAGAAGAAACCUCUGCCUGCUGCUGAAAUAGAAGACUCCCAACUAGCACCCCUGGAAUUGAAAGACUGCACCAUUGGGGCUGGAGGAGAAAUUGUCCCUACAAAGAGUGCUUAGGAACUCUGUACAAUAAUAUUUAAAUCAAAAUCAUUUUCUCCCUGCUAAUUCCCUAAAGGCUACCUGUUCUAUUGAAGACUGGACUGAAGUCAAUUCAUUGUCUUCCCAUCCCAAAUGAGGGGAGAGAGCAUUUGUUCACCAUCAUUAUACACAACUAGACUGUACUGUGAGCUUGUGUAGGCAGGGAUUGUCUCUUUAUUGCUGUAGCACAGUUUCCCAACUGCUUAGUACAGUGUUCUGCACACAGUAAGCACUCAAUAAAUACAAUUGAAUGAAUGAGUGAACUAUGCCAUAUUGAAGACUGUGGUCUGUUCUCUCGUAAUGUGUGUUUUCACUGUGCAUCUUGAUAUAACACUAUUGUAGAAUUGUAGAAAGUUAUUUAUUGCGAUUACGUUGUCUUGUUUCUGUCUGUCUCCCCCGAUUAGACUGUAAGCCUGUCAAUGGGCAGGGAUUGUCUCUGUCGCCGAAUUUACAUUCCAAGUGCUUAGUACAGUGCUCUGCACAUAGUAAGCGCUCAAUAAAUACUAUUGAAUGAAUGAAUUGGGCUUUUAUUUCCUCCCCUCAAGACAAGACUGUAAACCUGUUAUGUGCAGGGAACAUGUCUGCUAAUUCUGUUGCAUUGUACUCUCCCAAGUGCUUAGUAAAGAACACUGAUUACUGAUUACUGCAUCCGCAUCCUUUAUCAACUGCCAACCUCCUGUCUCUCUUCACUUCACUCCACUGCCUGGAUUAUUUUUCUACAGAAACGCUCUGGGCAUGUCACCCACUCCUUAAAACCUUCAGUGGUUGCCCAUCAACCUUCAAAUCAAGCAAAAACUCCUCACCAUUGGCUUCAAAGUUCUCCAUCACCUUGCCCCCUCCUACCUCACCUCCUUUCUCUCCUACAGCCCAGCCCGCACACUCUGCUCCUCUGCCGCUCACCUCCUCACUGGGCCUCGUUCUCGCCUGUCCCGCCAUCGACCCCUGGCCGAUGUCCUACCUCUGGCCUGGGAUGCCCUCCCUCCUCACAUCCGCCAAACGAGCUCUCUUCGCCCCUUUAAAGCCCUACUAACAGCUCACCUCCUCCAGGAGGCCUUCCCAGGCUGAGCCCCCCUUUUCCUCU